Molecule: small nuclear RNA, 198 nt
Organism: Daucus carota subsp. sativus
Lineage: Eukaryota; Viridiplantae; Streptophyta; Magnoliopsida; Apiales; Apiaceae
Product: U2 spliceosomal RNA
Exons: 1
Source: RefSeq, a predicted model, not a curated record
AUACCUUUCUCGGGCCUUUUGGCUAAGAUCAAGUGUAGUAUCUGUUCUUAUCAGUUUAAUAUCUGAUAUGUGGGCCAAUGGUCCACACGAUAUUAAAUUAAAUUUUUAAGGGGGAAGGCCCGCCACAAUAGCUUGCUAUUGGGGUUUUCGAGAGUCGCCCAAGUGCUUGCACUACUGCUCGGGCCAGGCUCCCCCACC